This 1083-nucleotide long non-coding RNA is filed under the name Nicotiana benthamiana. Its description in RNAcentral is "long non-coding RNA (NBEN_LNC015380)". The record is from RNAcentral. Lineage: Eukaryota; Viridiplantae; Streptophyta; Magnoliopsida; Solanales; Solanaceae.
GCCUACAAAUAUUUGGUAAACAAAGGUAAGGCAACACACUUGUUACUACUGUUCUUCUGAGCCGAUGGUCUAUCGGAAACAACCUCUCUGUCUUCUCAAGGUAGUGGUAAAGUUUGCAUACACACUCUCCUCGGCAAACCCUACUUGUGGAAUUACACUGGAUAUGUUGUUGUUGUAGUUUAAAGGUAAGACAACGGUUGCAAUAAGAUGGUUAACUAGAGGUGAAUCUAGCAUGGGUUCUGAACCUACUAUUGUUUGUGUCGAACAUAGAUUUAUAUGUGAAAAAUAACUAAAAUUUCAACAAAUAUUAGUUGUGAAUUUGAAGGAGAGUCUUGCUGUAACUGGUCAAGUUGCUGUCAUGUGACCAGGAGGUCACGGGUUCGAGCUGUUGAAAUAGCCUCUUGUAGAAAUACAGGGUAAGACUGCGUAGAAUAGACCCCUGUGGUACAGCUGUUCCCCAGACCCCGCGCAUAGUGGGAGCUUAGUACACCGGGUUUCCCUUUAUUAGUUAUGAAUUGAUAAUUCAAAAAGUACAAUAGGUCCUAUUAUAAGAACCUUAAAGUUUGAAACGUCAAGUUUAAAUUAUGAACCCCCCUACGUGGUUAACUAUAUAUGAGAGUGUAGAUGUCACCUUUGUUUUCUUUUUUUCUCCUCUAAGAACUACCACUGCAUAAGGAUUCGUGUGGUGCUUUCCUUCUACAUCUUCAGCACCAAUAACUGUAACUAACAGCAAACCUGCUCCGCGCAAGGAAUAGUUGUCAUCUGAAAGGCUUGAAAUACUCUCCUUUCGUUCGUGAAUAUGAAGAGGUCCACUAAACUUUUUGCUUUCCUUCUACAUCUUCGGCACCAAUAACUGUAACUAACAGCAAACCUGCUCCGCGCAAGGAAUAGUUGUCAUCUGAAAGGCUUGAAAUACUCUCCUUUCGUUCGUGAAUAUGAAGAGGUCCACUAAACUUUUUGCUAUCUUCUUGGAAGGGAAUGAAGGACAUUUCCAACAUAAUCUGGCCUCGAGCCUUCUUGUUCUGAGGGUCAUUUGGGUUUGUGCUGUGGACCAAAUCGAGCGUUAGUUCUUUCUUCUCAUAU